GAAAUGCGAUAAGUAAUGUGAAUUGCAGAAUUCAGUGAAUCAUCGAAUCUUUGAACGCACAUUGCGCCCGCCAGUAUUCUGGCGGGCAUGCCUGUUCGAGCGUCAUUUCAACCAUCAAGCCCCCGGGCUUGUGUUGGGGACCUGCGGCUGCCGCAGCCCCCGAAAACCAGUGGCGGGCUCGCUGUCACACCGGGCGUAGUAGAUUUUUCGUCUCGCCCAGGGCGUGCUGCGGGUUCCGGCCGUUAAAAAGCCUCUCUUUUAACCCAAGGUUGACCUCGGAUCAGGUAGGAAGACCCGCUGAACUUAAGC
Molecule: unclassified non-coding RNA, 309 nt
Filed under: plant metagenome
Description: partial contains 5.8S ribosomal RNA, internal transcribed spacer 2, and large subunit ribosomal RNA
Rfam family: 5.8S ribosomal RNA (bases 1-105)
Source: RNAcentral